UACGGAGGGUGCGAGCGUUACUCGGAAUCACUGGGCGUAAAGGGCGCGUAGGCGGUUUGGUAAGUUGGAUGUGAAAGCCCACGGCUCAACCGUGGAACUGCGUCCAAAACUGCCAGACUAGAGUCCGGAAGAGGCAGGUGGAAUUGGUGGUGUAGGGGUAAAAUCCGUAGAGAUCACCAGGAAUACCCAUUGCGAAGGCGACCUGCUGGGACGGUACUGACGCUGAGGCGCGAAAGCGUGGGGAGCAAACAGGAUUAGAUACCCUGGUAGUCCACGCCCUAAACGAUGGAUGCUAGUCGUUGGGAAGCCAGUCUUCCCAGCGAUGCAGCUAACGCAAUAAGCAUCCCUCCUGGGGAGUACGGCCGCAAGGCUAAAACUCAAAGGAAUAGACGGGGACCCGCACAAGCGGUGGAGCAUGUGGUUUAAUUCGAAGAUACGCGAAGAACCUUACCUGGGCUUGACAUCCCUGGAAUCCCCUAGAGAUAGGGGAGUGCCUCCUUAUGGAGGAGCCAGGAGACAGGUGCUGCACGGCUGUCGUCAGCUCGUGUCGUGAGAUGUUGGGUUAAGUCCCGCAACGAGCGCAACCCUCGCCUCUAGUUGCCAGCACUUAGGGUGGGCACUCUAGAGGGACUGCCCGGGUAACCGGGAGGAAGGUGAGGAUGACGUCAAGUCAUCAUGGCCCUUAUGCCCAGGGCGACACACGUGCUACAAUGGCGCGUACAGAGAGAGGCGAUACCGCGAGGUGGAGCAAAUCUCUAAAGCGCGUCCCAGUUCGGAUUGCAGUCUGCAACUCGACUGCAUGAAGUCGGAAUCGCUAGUAAUCGCGGAUCAGCCAUGCCGCGGUGAAUACGUUCCCGGGUC
RNAcentral lists this ribosomal RNA (861 nucleotides) under uncultured bacterium. RNAcentral describes it as "bacterial SSU rRNA". It matches the Rfam family "Bacterial small subunit ribosomal RNA", at positions 524 to 1380 of the family's 1533-position model. The record is from RNAcentral.